GCAUCUAUAGUCUAAUGGAUAGAACGCUGGACUCCGAUUCCAGUAAUGUGGGUUCGACUCCCGCUAGAUGCA
This 72-nucleotide transfer RNA is filed under the name Lachnospiraceae bacterium. RNAcentral's name for it is "tRNA-Arg". It matches the Rfam family "tRNA". From Rfam's summary of the family: Transfer RNA (tRNA) molecules are approximately 80 nucleotides in length. The record is from RNAcentral. Lineage: Bacteria; Bacillati; Bacillota; Clostridia; Lachnospirales; Lachnospiraceae.